CCUACGGGUGGCAGCAGUAGGGAAUAUUGCUCAAUGGGGGAAACCCUGAAGCAGCAACGCCGCGUGGAUGAUGAAGGUUUUCGGAUUGUACACUCCUUUUGUUAGAGAAGAUAAUGACGGUAUCUAACGAAUAAGCACCGGCUAACUCCGUGCCAGCAGCCGCGGUAAUACGGAGGGUGCAAGCGUUACUCGGAAUCACUGGGCGUAAAGAGCGCGUAGGCGGGAUAGCAAGUCAGAUGUGAAAUCCUAUGGCUUAACCAUAGAACUGCAUUUGACACUGUUAGUCUAGAGUAUGGGAGAGGGAGGUGGAAUUCUUGGUGUAGGGGUAAAAUGCGUAGAGAUCAAGAGGAAGACUCGUGGCGAAGGCGACCUGCUAGAACAUAACUGACGCUGAGGCGCGAAAGCGUGGGGAGCAAACAGGAUUAGAUACCCGUGUAGUC
This 440-nucleotide ribosomal RNA is filed under the name uncultured bacterium. Its description in RNAcentral is "partial 16S ribosomal RNA". It matches the Rfam family "Bacterial small subunit ribosomal RNA", at positions 338 to 795 of the family's 1533-position model. The record is from RNAcentral.